GCUGACACAUCCCGGCCAAUCUCCAGCAGACCCUCCCUCCCAGACCCUUCAGCAGACCCUCCCUCCCAGACUCUCCCCUCAGCAUCCAUAUUGAAGGCAGCUUCAACAUGGAUGCUGUCCAGGAGGUGGGAGGGUCUGGGAGGGAGGGUCUGCUGGAGAUUGGCCGGAAUGUGUCAG
Molecule: non-coding RNA, 177 nt
Organism: Pelobates cultripes (western spadefoot toad)
Lineage: Eukaryota; Metazoa; Chordata; Amphibia; Anura; Pelobatidae
Source: the annotation of a GenBank genome assembly